RNAcentral lists this non-coding RNA (106 nucleotides) under Nakaseomyces glabratus. Lineage: Eukaryota; Fungi; Ascomycota; Saccharomycetes; Saccharomycetales; Saccharomycetaceae. The record is from Rfam by way of RNAcentral.
UAUUCCAAAAAGAUCAUAGGUGUGAAGUAAAUCAAACUCAGGGAAGAUGUAUCUCCAGCUGUUGAUCAUUGAGAUGAUACUUUUGGUCAUAAUUCUUCCUACAUAU